CCUUCGGUAUCGUCACAGGGCGGGCGUUCGGCGACGUCACCGGGGAGGUACAGUGCUUGGAGCUGGGCAGUCUUCUACUUAGAGUGGAGCCUGGUAACCGCGACCUCUCCGCCAAGUCCUGUGUGUUGACAAACACCGACUCAGCACAGUGUUUAUGUCUGUCAAAAAUAGAAAACUAUGUCCGGGCGCGGCCAGCGGGAGAAGCCCUUCAGGCCAAGAGCAGCCUGGCAACAUGGCGGGACCCCAUCUCUGUAGUCCUACCUCAGCCCCCCAGCUACUUGAACCCUAAGGUUCAAGGCUCCAAUGAGCUGUGAUCCCACCACAGCACUCCAGCCUGCGAGACUGAGAUGAUGAUUAUUCUCCACCUUCUAAGAGAACAAAGACCAGCGAGCCACCACAGCCACCAGUCCUGGAACCCGCCAAUGCUGGGGAACGGAAAGUGAGGGAGUUCAACUCUGUAAAGGAAGAAUGGUAUGCCAGAAUCACUAAAUGAAGAAAGAUGGUGGAUCAGCUUUUCUGCAAAAAAAUUUGCUGAAGCCUUGGGGAGCACUGAAGCCAAGGCUCUACUGUACCAAAAAUUUGAAGGCCAUGCGAAUGAUCUGUAUGUGGAAGGGCUACCAGAAAACAUUCCUUUCAGAAGUCCCUCGUGGUGUGGAAUCCCAAGGCUGGAAAACAUCAUUCAAGUGGGCAAUCAAAUUAAAUUUCUUAUUAAAAGUAACUCCAGUCGGACUCCAUUGUCUCCAAGUCGACUUUCGUCCUCAUCCACAACUCCUCCACACAAGCCCUGAACACGUGUCCAUCUCAAGCUCUUGGACUCAGAGGCAGUAAAAGUACCAUAUUCUGUGUUUGAAUCAAACCCCGAGUUCCUGUAUGUAGAAGGCUUGCCAGACAGAAUUCCCUUUCCAAGCCCUACCUGGUUUGGAAUUCCAUGACUUGAAAGGAUCAUCUGUGGAGUAAUAAAACCAAGUUUGUUGUUAAAAAGUAAGUUCCAGGCCGGGUAUGGUGGCUCACGCCUGUAAUCCCAGCACUUUGGGAGGCCAAGGCAGGUGAAUCACCUGAGGUCAGGAGUUCAAGACCAGCCAGACCAACAUCUCUACUAAAAAUGUUAAAAAUUAGCCAGGCAUGGUGGCUGGUGCCUGUAA
This is a long non-coding RNA of Gorilla gorilla gorilla (western lowland gorilla), 1142 nucleotides long. RefSeq lists it as uncharacterized. NCBI's taxonomy places the organism in Eukaryota, Metazoa, Chordata, Mammalia, Primates, Hominidae. The transcript has 6 exons. The record is from RefSeq and is a predicted model, not a curated record.